UGGCGGACGGGUGAGUAACGCGUGGAAAACCUGCCGUAUACUGGGGGAUAACACUUAGAAAUAGGUGCUAAUACCGCAUAAGCGCACAGCUUCGCACGAAGCGGUGUGAAAAACUCUGGUGGUAUACGAUGGUUCCGCGUCUGAUUAGCUAGUUGGUGGGGUAAUGGCCUACCAAGGCAACGAUCAGUAGCCGGCCUGAGAGGGUGAACGGCCACAUUGGGACUGAGACACGGCCCAAACUCCUACGGAAGGCAGCAG
This 258-nucleotide ribosomal RNA is filed under the name uncultured bacterium. Its description in RNAcentral is "partial 16S ribosomal RNA". It matches the Rfam family "Bacterial small subunit ribosomal RNA", at positions 96 to 354 of the family's 1533-position model. The record is from RNAcentral.